RNAcentral lists this long non-coding RNA (816 nucleotides) under Citrus x clementina. Its description in RNAcentral is "Citrus clementina (C. clementina) long non-coding RNA (CCLE_LNC003580)". The record is from RNAcentral. Lineage: Eukaryota; Viridiplantae; Streptophyta; Magnoliopsida; Sapindales; Rutaceae.
UCAAACACGUGGCUCACAUUUAACGUUAAUAAUGAUUCUUACCGAUAAGUAGAUAAAUAAAACAAAAAUAAAUUCAAUUUUCUUUUAAGUCAGCAGUGGCUGAGUCUUUUCGGCACCAUGUAUGGCGCUCCAAAACAAACUAGGCUCUUUAAUAUAAGAGCUAUAUUGUCAUAAAUAUAAACUAAGAUGGGUCAAGGUGUCAAAACUUUUACUUUAAGAUUCAGUUUUGAGAAAAGACAAACAUAUGGGUAAUGUUGUGCUAAUUGAUAACUAAUAGAGGUAAAAGAAUAAAAAAUUAAAAACAUCUAAUUUUCUAAGAAAUUUGUGAACUUUGGUAUUGUUUUGUUACCGUGUAAUGUUGAUAGAUUAGAAUGAUAUCCAGCUUACUGCUGAUACAAAUUAGAACAUUGAUGAUAGCUUUAGGAAUAAGAUCAUAGGCCUGAAUGGUGGUGUUUAUGGCUUCUUCAGCUCGCUGCCGCCACACAUCAUCAAAAUCAAUGAUAUACGCCAAAGGCCGUGAAUGGAGGUGGCAAGGGAGAAGAGCAAGAUCAGCCUCAACCUGGCAAACUCCAUAAUCAAUUUAUUAAUUGAUUUUACUCGUGUAAUUUUUUACUUUCUCUUUCAGUGCAUACAUAUUUGUAGAGUCAAUACCUAUUUCAGUUUUGCCAGCAAGCUUAACAUACAGUGUUGUACCAUUGGGUUGUAAGUAAGCAAUAACAAAAUUAAUUAAACUGUUUACUUUUUAGAGGCUAUUGAAUUCGUGUAGAAUUUAAGAAUUUUUACUAAAACUCAUUCCGUUAUUUAAAUAAAUUACUA